Molecule: ribosomal RNA, 467 nt
Filed under: uncultured bacterium
Lineage: Bacteria
Description: partial 16S ribosomal RNA
Rfam family: Bacterial small subunit ribosomal RNA
Source: RNAcentral
GACGAACGCUGGCGGCGUGCUUAACACAUGCAAGUCGAACGGAAAGGCCCUGCUUUUGUGGGGUGCUCGAGUGGCGAACGGGUGAGUAACACGUGAGUAACCUGCCCUUGACUUUGGGAUAACUUCAGGAAACUGGGGCUAAUACCGGAUAGGAGCUCCUGCUGCAUGGUGGGGGUUGGAAAGUUUCGGCGGUUGGGGAUGGACUCGCGGCUUAUCAGCUUGUUGGUGGGGUAGUGGCUUACCAAGGCUUUGACGGGUAGCCGGCCUGAGAGGGUGACCGGCCACAUUGGGACUGAGAUACGGCCCAGACUCCUACGGGAGGCAGCAGUGGGGAAUAUUGCACAAUGGGCGGAAGCCGGAUGCAGCAACGCCGCGUGCGGGAUGACGGCCUUCGGGUUGUAAACCGCUUUCGCCUGUGACGAAGCGUGAGUGACGGUAAUGGGCAAAGAAGCACCGGCUAACUACGU